AGAGACUCUCACACCGCCGAGUACUAGAUCAGUGACGCUGGCUGGCCUUGCAUUACAGCUGAGGUAUAACCUCGUUCUCCCACCUUACCUGCCAUUUCCAAGUAAUUGCUUUUGGACAGAUGGUAAGCCAGUAGCGUGGUUAUGUGACUAGCAGCUUGGCUCCCUUCCCACUCCCUGACAAAAGAAAUCUGCUUCAGGCUAUGCAGACAUAGUUUAUUUUUCUUCGCCCUGCUUCCCUUCCAGCACUGCAAACCAGUUCACACAGAAGCUGAUUGCUUCGACAACUGGAGCUCUCUGGCUGAGGACCACCUCCACCUGUGCCUCUUGACAUGGCUGUGGCUGAGUGAUGUGGGUGAAUAUAAAGCAGACUUUCCUGCUAUACAUGGUUUUGCACUGACUCAAAAGCAAGCACAGCACACAAGAUUUGGACCCUUUGG
Molecule: long non-coding RNA, 437 nt
Filed under: Anser brachyrhynchus (Pink-footed goose)
Lineage: Eukaryota; Metazoa; Chordata; Aves; Anseriformes; Anatidae
Description: lncRNA (ENSABRG00000009905.1)
Source: RNAcentral